RNAcentral lists this ribosomal RNA (252 nucleotides) under uncultured bacterium. RNAcentral's name for it is "partial 16S ribosomal RNA". It matches the Rfam family "Bacterial small subunit ribosomal RNA", at positions 524 to 776 of the family's 1533-position model. The record is from RNAcentral.
UACGUAGGGGGCUAGCGUUGUCCGGAUUUAUUGGGCGUAAAGCGAGCGCAGGUGGUUUAUUAAGUCUGGUGUAAAAGGCAGUGGCUCAACCAUUGUAUGCAUUGGAAACUGGUAGACUUGAGUGCAGGAGAGGAGAGUGGAAUUCCAUGUGUAGCGGUGAAAUGCGUAGAUAUAUGGAGGAACACCGGUGGCGAAAGCGGCUCUCUGGCCUGUAACUGACACUGAGGCUUGAAAGCGUGGGGAGCAAACAGG